CGCCGGGCCGGAGAAAUCAAGGUCAACCGAGAUUUCCAUGCUUCACCGGCCGAAGAAAACAAUCUCGCUUCACCGGCGUCUAUUCAUAUGUCGCUUCACCGGCGUCGUCGGUUCAGAUAUCACUUACCGAGCCUUCAAUUCAAUAUGUCGGUUCAACUUUGCAUCCUUUUACCCUUCUAUUUACGAGCGGUUGAAUCGCCCCAUCCGUUUGAAUUGAAGCCUACUUUAAGCCUCGAACUCAAAGCACACCUUUCCGACCACAUUUCUUAUGGGCUUUGAUUGACUACUGGUGACAGCUAGGAUCAUAGAUUCAAGAUUACAUGUUCUACACCCAGUUUGCUUCCAAUUCGUACCACUCGCGAUUAAGUCCAUGUGUGGUCAUGGUUACCUUAGAUGUUACGCUUGAUGUAUUUUGCUACUCUGGCUUCAAGAUGGGUAUACAUUUCAAAGCGGACUAGACUCACUUUAUUAGUACCAGAGAUGGACAAGAGAUUUAUACUCAGAUUUUAACGAGAAUUCACAAGUUGGGGAGUUGUUCAAAGGCAUUUGUCGUCUUUUAUACGAGCAGGUCUGUGCUUCCCAACAACUUCAAGGUGGUGCUUGCUUCGUACAUCAAGUCUCUCUCUCUCUCUCUCUAAUUAUAUGUGUGUUUGGAUUUAGGCGUAAUGUGACAAUCUUGAUGAAAUUUGACAUUGUAGAUGAUCGCAAUGAUGUUUGUAUUGUUAUUGUGUAAUUAGUUCACAAGUCUACCUACAACUUCACAGCCUGUGAUUAAGAUUACGAUAGUUUAUAACUCUUCUUAUAGCAAAGACAUUAACAUGUCAAUCUUUUAAUUAUGUAUUAACAUAAAUAAUAAUUAAUAUAUCUCGAGAUAUUACAUUA
Molecule: long non-coding RNA, 882 nt
Organism: Helianthus annuus (common sunflower)
Lineage: Eukaryota; Viridiplantae; Streptophyta; Magnoliopsida; Asterales; Asteraceae
Exons: 4
Source: RefSeq, a predicted model, not a curated record